Molecule: ribosomal RNA, 484 nt
Filed under: uncultured bacterium
Lineage: Bacteria
Description: partial 16S ribosomal RNA
Rfam family: Bacterial small subunit ribosomal RNA
Source: RNAcentral
GACGAACGCUGGCGGCGUGCUUAACACAUGCAAGUCGAACGAUGAAGCUAGAGCUUGCUCUGGUGGAUUAGUGGCGAACGGGUGAGUAACACGCGAGUAACCUGCCCCGAACUCUGGGAUAACUGCUGGAAACGGUAGCUAAUACCGGAUAUGACCAAUGAAGGCAUCUUCUGUUGGUGGAAAGAAUUUCGGUUCGGGAUGGACUCGCGGCCUAGCAGCUUGUUGGUGGGGUAACGGCUCACCAAGGCGACGCCGGGUAGCCGGCCUGAGAGGGUGAUCGGCCACACUGGGACUGAGACACGGCCCAGACUCCUACGGGAGGCAGCAGUGGGGAAUAUUGCACAAUGGGCGCAAGCCUGAUGCAGCAACGCCGCGUGAGGGACGACGGCCUUCGGGUUGUAAACCUCUUUUAGUAGGGAAGAAGCGAAAGUGACGGUACCUGCAGAAAAAGGACCGGCCAACUACGUGCCAGCCGCCGCAGUAA